CCUGGUUGAUCCUGCUAGUAGUCAUAUGCUUGUCUCAAAAAUUAAGCCAUGCAUGUGUAUGUAUAAAUUAAUUCAGACUAUGAAAUUGUGAAUAGCUCAUUAAAUUAAUUAUAGUUUAUUUGAUGGUAUCUACUACUCAAAUAACCAUAGUAAUUCUAGAGCUUAUACAUGCAACAAACUCCUAACUUCUGGAAGGGAUGCAUUUAUUAAUUAAAAGGUCGACAUGGGUUUUGCCUUUUGCUUUGAUGAUUCAUGAUAACUAGAUGGAUUGCACAGUCUUUAUGCCAAUUAUGCAUCAUUCAAAUUUCUACCUUAUCAACUUUCAAUGGUAGGAUAGUGGCCUAUUAUGGUGGUGAUUGGUGACGGAGAAUUAAGGUUUAAUUCUAGAAAAGGAGCUUAAGAAAUGACUACCACAUCUAAGGAAGGCAGCAAGUUCGUAAAUUACCCAAUCCUGACACAAAGAGGUAGUGACAAUAAAUAACAAUACUAGGCUCUAUGAGUUUGGUAACGAGUACAAUCUAAAUCCCUUAACAAGCAUCCAUUAGAGGACAUGUUUGGUGCCAAUAGCCACAACAAUUCUAGCACCAAUAACGUAUAUUUAAGUUUUUGUAGUUAAAAAACUCAUAGUUGGAACUAAGGUUAGGUCUUUCAAUCCAUCUCGCGAUGAGCACCGAUCUACUCGUCCCUAUAGCUGGCAAUAUGUCUUGGCCUUAAUUGGCUAGGUUAUUCCUUUGGCAUUAUUACUUUGAAGAAAUUAAAGUGCUCAAAGCAAGCUGACACUUGUAUACAUUAACAUGGGAUAAAAUCAUUGGAUUUCAAUCCUAUUAUGUUAGCCUUCGAGAUCAGAUAAUGAUUAACAAGGUCAGUCAGGGGCAUUUGUAUUUCAUCGUCAGAUGUGAAAUUCUUGGAUUUAUGAAAGAUGAACAACUAUAAAAGUAUUUGUCAAAGAUGUUUUCAAUAAUUAAGAAUGAAAGCCCCUCGAAGAUGAUCAAAUACCAUCCUAGUCUCAACCAUAAAUAAUACUGACUAGGGAUCGACGAAUGUUACUUUUAGGACUUUGCUGGCACCUUAUGAGAAAUCAAAGGUUUUAGUUCUCGCAAGGGGAGUAUGGUCACAAGGCUUAAACUUAAAGGAAUUGACAGAAUGAUACCACUAAGAGUGGAGCUUGCAGCUUUAAUUUGACUCAACACGAAAAACCUUACCAGGUCUAGAUAUAGUAAGGAUUAACAAACUAAAAGCUCUUUCUUGAUUCUAUGGUGGUGGUGAAAGGCUAUUCUUAGUUAGUGGAGCAUUUUGUCUAGUUAAUUCUAUUAACGAACAAGAUCUCAGCCUACUAACUAGUUAUGCAGAAGUGAUCAUUCAUGGCUAGCUUCUUAGAGGGACUAUGGCCGCUUAGGCCAAGGAAGUUUGAGGUAAUAAUAAGUCUAUAAUGCCUUUAGAUGUUAUGGGUUGCACGUGCACUACACUGAUGUAUUCAAUGAGUCUAUAGCCUUGGCUGACAGGCUCGGGUAAUCUUUGAAAUAUCAUCAUAAUGGGGAUAGAUCAUUAUAAUUGUUGGUCUUCAAUGAGAACCUAGUAAGCAUAAGUUAUCAGCUCAUGUUGACUACGUCCUUGCCCUUUGUACACACCUCUCAUCACUCCUACUGAUUGAAUGGUUUGAAUGGUUUGAUGGUUCACUAUUUACGAUGUUACAAGAAGUCCAUUAAACCUUAUCAUUUAAAGGAAUGAGAAUUUAUAACAAGGUUUUCAUAGGUGAACCUAUGGAAG
RNAcentral lists this ribosomal RNA (1767 nucleotides) under Durio zibethinus. RNAcentral's name for it is "SSU rRNA". It matches the Rfam family "Eukaryotic small subunit ribosomal RNA". The record is from RNAcentral. Lineage: Eukaryota; Viridiplantae; Streptophyta; Magnoliopsida; Malvales; Malvaceae.